GUGUGGGGGCCAUUCCACGGUUUCCGCGCCGCAGCUAACGCAUUAAGUGCCCCGCCUGGGGAGUACGGCCGCAAGGCUAAAACUCAAAGGAAUUGACGGGGGCCCGCACAAGCGGCGGAGCAUGCGGAUUAAUUCGAUGCAACGCGAAGAACCUUACCAAGGCUUGACAUGUUCCCGACCGCCACAGAGAUGUGGUUUCCCCUUUGGGGCGGGUUCACAGGUGGUGCAUGGUUGUCGUCAGCUCGUGUCGUGAGAUGUUGGGUUAAGUCCCGCAACGAGCGCAACCCUCGUUCCAUGUUGCCAGCGGGUUAUGCCGGGGACUCAUGGGAGACUGCCGGGGUCAACUCGGAGGAAGGUGGGGACGACGUCAAAUCAUCAUGCCCCUUAUGUCUUGGGCUUCACGCAUGCUACAAUGGCCGGUACAAUGGGUUGCGAUACUGUGAGGUGGAGCUAAUCCCAAAAAGCCGGUCUCAGUUCGGAUUGGGUCUGCAACUCGACCCCAUGAAGUCGGAGUCGCUAGUAAUCGCAGAUCAGCAACGCUGCGGUGAAUACGUUCCCGGGCCUUGUACACACCGCCCGUCAAGUCACGAAAGUCGGUAACACCCGAAGCCGGUGGCCCAACCCUUGUGGGGGGAGCCGUCGAAGGUGGGGCUG
RNAcentral lists this ribosomal RNA (654 nucleotides) under uncultured bacterium. RNAcentral describes it as "bacterial SSU rRNA". It matches the Rfam family "Bacterial small subunit ribosomal RNA", at positions 820 to 1470 of the family's 1533-position model. The record is from RNAcentral.